RNAcentral lists this ribosomal RNA (433 nucleotides) under uncultured bacterium. RNAcentral describes it as "partial 16S ribosomal RNA". It matches the Rfam family "Bacterial small subunit ribosomal RNA", at positions 29 to 507 of the family's 1533-position model. The record is from RNAcentral.
AGCGAACGCUGGCGGCAGGCCUAACACAUGCAAGUCGAACGAACUCUUCGGAGUUAGUGGCGGACGGGUGAGUAACACGUGGGAACGUGCCUUUAGGUUCGGAAUAACUCAGGGAAACUUGUGCUAAUACCGAAUGUGCCCUUCGGGGGAAAGAUUUAUCGCCUUUAGAGCGGCCCGCGUCUGAUUAGCUAGUUGGUGAGGUAAAGGCUCACCAAGGCGACGAUCAGUAGCUGGUCUGAGAGGAUGAUCAGCCACAUUGGGACUGAGACACGGCCCAAACUCCAACGGGAGGCAGCAGUGGGGAAUCUUGCGCAAUGGGCGAAAGCCUGACGCAGCCAUGCCGCGUGAAUGAUGAAGGUCUUAGGAUUGUAAAAUUCUUUCACCGGGGACGAUAAUGACGGUACCCGGAGAAGAAGCCCCGGCUAACUUCGUG